Bombus pyrosoma is the source of this 2254-nucleotide long non-coding RNA. RefSeq lists it as uncharacterized. The transcript has 6 exons. The record is from RefSeq and is a predicted model, not a curated record. Lineage: Eukaryota; Metazoa; Arthropoda; Insecta; Hymenoptera; Apidae.
GUCGGCUCGAAUGCGAUUGACUUGCAACCGGGCUGAACAUCCCCACCACUUUACAUAAUUCGCUCGGGGAGACAAACAGCGGUGCGGUGUGGCAUUCGCAGGUCGAAGAUCGCGUCGUUAAGACGUAUCAACUCGCGGCAGGUUAUUGGCGUCAGUUAAGAAGACAUAUUGGCGCCAAGAAACAGGAAUUCCAAUAUGGACGCCAUAACGGUCAAUGUUUAAUUUAAUGCUUUUUCAUGGAGGUGGAUAAGUUUAUAUUGCCCUUUCAUUGAAUCAUUGAGAAUGUUCGUGACCACGUGCAAUGCGGUUGAUAGAGUCAGUGUUUGCAACGUAAUAGUUUUUUUUAAUAUUCUUUAGAGCACAAUAGCUCUUAUUAAAUUUAGUUGCAAUAGUCAUACGCGAAAUUAGAUUCAGUGUUUGUUCGGCGUUUUAUCUAAACGAGCGCGUUAAUAGUACUUUAUUUUUCUUUUUUUAUUUAUGCUCUUUUCCAAGUACUAUUCGUUUUUGGCAUUAGAAUCAAUGCUCAAGAGGAUAAAGCCUUUCCAGGAGUUUAAGAGUAUCUGUCCCACUGUCUACCACUUGCCAGUUCUUUGAGAGGAUCUAAUGAUGCUUCAAAAGCCAAGUAUAUUUUUCACACCCUCCGCUUCUCCCAUGGACUUCGAUGGUUCUUCCUUGAUGAUGUCUUCUAGACUAUUGCAGCAGUGCUGACAACGUCCUACGCAUCUAAUUAAACCGAUCAUGGAAUCAACGGAAGAAGACUCGGAUCUCCUAUAUCCCUUUCCCUCGCUAUAUUAUAUUCAGACUGUUAGAUAGAUAAAAUCCAUAAAAAAAUUAUUACAUCUCUAUAUACGUACAUAUAUAGAGUCUGAAUAAAACUUUUAGACAUGUAAUACGUAGCGACUCUACGAAAUCUCUAGUUGAUUAGUUAUAGGAUUAGUAAGGCGAGAAACAUGUUUCAAAAUUCGUGAAAAAUAUUCAAUACUUUGAAAGAUACGUUUGUUCCAUGCAAUAUCUCUUCCCCGUCCCUUAUUGUAGUCAGAUGUUUAUAGGAUUUAUCGAAAUCAUUAAAUUGACGAUAGAUAGGAUAGUUUAGGUUUAUAAUUAGGAGUAAAAUGUCUUUAUUCUAAUUAUGUAAUCAGGUGAAGUGAUCGUGAAUUUUGUUUCUUGGUAAUUAGUUACAUGGAUGCUUGGUUUAUGCAGUUGGUGUAGUAGAAAAGGUAGUUGGCGUCCAUUUAAGUUUAAUAAAUGUAACUCUUUGUGAGACGUAUUUAAUUUUAUUUUUGUCUUUUUUCUUGAUGUUCUUUUUAACUCUCGAUUAUUCUACACCUUUCUUUGCAAUGAAAGUAAGAUAUGAAAGUAAAACUUUUGAUAUAUUAUAAACCAGCGUCUCACAUAGUGUUAUAUCAUUAGUUUAAAAUUUAAUUUAAUUCUCUAUUUUUAUGAUUAAUUCCCAACUUUUACAUUCAGGAUUAGUCUUUCGCGUCGGUCUUCCUUAAAGCUUUCUUUUGUAAAACUUUUUCUUUUGUAAAACGAUCAAAGAGAUGCGACAUUUUGCAAAUUUACACUGAAAAGGCAAUUCGUUUAUAAAUUGACGUUUUAAAUAAAUUUUUGUUCGUAAAAGGAUAGGAUGUGGUUAGGUGUGGUCUUCGCACACAGCAACCUCCACGCGGUGAGACCUCGGCAAUAUUAUUUGAUAUAAAAUUACUAACUGUAUCAUUAUAUGAUACGAUUAUUAUUUAUAUUGGAAAUAAUAUGAGUUAAUUGGCUACGUUCGCGAUUAUAUUUUUAUAGAACUUAGAAGAUUUAUGUGGCUUGUUAGGUCUCAUUAAUUCCCAAGUAGACCUAGUGGAAACUUGAUGCAUUUUUUGCUUGUCCGUAAUAAAGUUAAUGCUUCUUUUUCAUUAAAUGGUUUUAUUCUUCAAAAUAAUUCACAACCUCUACAUUACAACUUGCUUUUCACUCUCGUAGCAAUCGUAGCUAUUAAAUUUGCCAUCAUUAAGACCGUGUUAAAUCUGAUGGAGCAAGACCUCGAGACUAAUGUAAAUAGAUCCCGACAUAACAGAGAAAAGUAUCCGCCGAUGUUAAAAUUAAGUACGAACUAGCUCGUUUGACAAAAGCGAAUAAAACGACAAGAAGUAAAAAAAAAAGGAAUCUCUUGGCGCGCCACAAUCUCGUCUUUUAAUCGAAGGAAACGAGCCGUGAAUAAUCGAUCGGGUUCACGUGAUCUGGAGAAAAGCGGCACAAGUAAUUUUCA